AUGAUGAAUGAUAUUUUUACGCUCAUCAAACCUGAGUUUAAACCGAGAUAUUUCAUAAAAACCAAGAUAUUCGUUCUGAUAUUGUUACUAAUGACUAAUGAAGGUAAAUAUCCUAUCUUUAUUUUGUUUCCAUAUGAAAUGGGAUUUUUAUGGACGAAAGCAAGUCAAUAUAUGAAAAGGAAUAAAGAGGAGAUCAAGUGGGAGCCACACCAGAGAAGACAGAGCAAAAGACGGUGUUUCAUACGACCGCACGCGCUCGUGCGGUCAUACAGAGUUCCAGUGGCGUCUCCUGAUCUAGUUGAACUAACUUGA
Molecule: ribosomal RNA, 312 nt
Filed under: Triticum aestivum (bread wheat)
Lineage: Eukaryota; Viridiplantae; Streptophyta; Magnoliopsida; Poales; Poaceae
Description: partial small subunit ribosomal RNA
Source: RNAcentral